Molecule: ribosomal RNA, 447 nt
Filed under: uncultured bacterium
Lineage: Bacteria
Description: bacterial SSU rRNA
Rfam family: Bacterial small subunit ribosomal RNA
Source: RNAcentral
UCGGGAAUUUUGGGCAAUGGGCGAAAGCCUGACCCAGCAACGCCGCGUGAAGGAUGAAGUAUUUCGGUAUGUAAACUUCGUAAGAAUAGGAAGAAUAAAUGACGGUACUAUUUGUAAGGUCCGGCUAACUACGUGCCAGCAGCCGCGGUAAUACGUAGGGACCAAGCGUUGUUCGAAUUUACUGGGCGUAAAGGGCGCGUAGGCGGUGUGUCAAGUCAGUUGUGAAAUCUCCGAGCUUAACUCGGAACGGUCAACUGAUACUGUCACACUAGAGUACAGAAGGGGCAAUCGGAAUUCUUGGUGUAGCGGUGAAAUGCGUAGAUAUCAAGAGGAACACCUGAGGCGAAGGCGGGUUGCUGGGCUGAUACUGACGCUGAGGCGCGAAAGCUAGGGUAGCAAACGGGAUUAGAUACCCAAGUAGUCCCUGAGCGGGCUGGCAAGGCGCAU